UGAAGCGGCAACAGCUCAAAUUUGAAAUCUGGCUCCUUCGGGGUCCGAGUUGUAAUUUGUAGAGGAUGCUUCGGGUGCGGCACCGGUCUAAGUCCCUUGGAACAGGGCGUCACAGAGGGUGAGGAUCCCGUAUGUGACCGGCGACCAAGCCCAUGUGAAGCUCCUUCGACGAGUCGAGUUGUUUGGGAAUGCAGCUCAAAAUGGGUGGUAAAUUUCAUCUAAAGCUAAAUACCGGCCAGAGACCGAUAGCGCACAAGUAGAGUGAUCGAAAGAUGAAAAGCACUUUGGAAAGAGAGUCAAAAAGUACGUGAAAUUGUUGAAAGGGAAGCGCUUGUAACCAGACCUGCCGCCGGGUGCUCCGCGGGCAUUCUUGCCCGUCUACUCACCCGCGAUCAGGCCAGCAUCGGUUUUGGCGGCCGGAUAAAGACUCGAGGAAUGUAGCUUCGCUUCGGGGAAGUGUUAUAGCCUCUUGUGUAAUACGGCCAGCCGGGACCGAGGACCGCGCUUCGGCUAGGAUGCUGGCGUAAUGGUUGCAAGCGACCCGUCUUGAAACACGGACCAAGGAGUCUAACAUCUAUGCGAGUGUUUGGGUGUCAAACCCAUGCGCGGAAUGAAAGUGAACGGAGGUGGGAACCCUCAAGGGCGCACCAUCGACCGAUCCGGAAGUUUACGGAUGGAUUUGAGUAUGAGCAUAGCUGUUGGGACCCGAAAGAUGGUGAACUAUGCCUGAAUAGGGUGAAGCCAGAGGAAACUCUGGUGGAGGCUCGCAGCGGUUCUGACGUGCAAAUCGAUCGUCAAAUUUGGGUAUAGGGGCGAAGUAAGCAUCCUUCCCGAGCUUGGGAAACAACUACUAACAUGAUCUUCACAGAGACUAAUC
This 877-nucleotide ribosomal RNA is filed under the name Ramalina subpusilla. Its description in RNAcentral is "LSU rRNA". It matches the Rfam family "Eukaryotic large subunit ribosomal RNA", at positions 94 to 936 of the family's 3401-position model. Lineage: Eukaryota; Fungi; Ascomycota; Lecanoromycetes; Lecanorales; Ramalinaceae. The record is from RNAcentral.